AUUGAACGCUGGCGGCAGGCCUAACACAUGCAAGUCGAGCGGAUGAAGGGAGCUUGCUCCUGGCUUCAGCGGCGGACGGGUGAGUAAUGCCUAGGAAUCUGCCUGGUAGUGGGGGAUAACGUCCGGACACGGGCGCUAAUACCGCAUACGUCCUGAGGGAGAAAGUGGGGGAUCUUCGGACCUCACGCUAUCAGAUGAGCCUAGGUCGGAUUAGCUAGUUGGUGGGGUAAAGGCCUACCAAGGCGACGAUCCGUAACUGGUCUGAGAGGAUGAUCAGUCACACUGGAACUGAGACACGGUCCAGACUCCUACGGGAGGCAGCAGUGGGGAAUAUUGGACAAUGGGCGAAAGCCUGAUCCAGCCAUGCCGCGUGUGUGAAGAAGGUCUUCGGAUUGUAAAGCACUUUAAGUUGGGAGGAAGGGCAGUAAGUUAAUACCUUGCUGUUUUGACGGUACCAACAGAAUAAGCACCGGCUAACUUCGUG
RNAcentral lists this ribosomal RNA (484 nucleotides) under uncultured bacterium. RNAcentral's name for it is "partial 16S ribosomal RNA". It matches the Rfam family "Bacterial small subunit ribosomal RNA", at positions 30 to 507 of the family's 1533-position model. The record is from RNAcentral.